Molecule: ribosomal RNA, 21 nt
Filed under: Erica ingeana
Lineage: Eukaryota; Viridiplantae; Streptophyta; Magnoliopsida; Ericales; Ericaceae
Also listed under: 1 other name
Description: partial 28S ribosomal RNA
Source: RNAcentral
AAUUGCGACCCCAGUCAGGCG